CUAUGUCAUACUUUUAAAAACUGUGUUCAUAAAUUGAAGGAAAAUACAACAAGCUUGGUUUUUGCUUGUAUUUAUAUGGAGAAUUUUAGGAGACAGAAUACAAAUUCCCUUUUAGGAAACAUUAGUUUACAAAUACAAAUAAAGAAUAAAAUCUACUUAAUUGUACUCACAGAAAUAAACUUUACAUGCCCCAUUCAUUAUAGAUUCGUUUUUGUUUUAUUUGGUUUGUCAAACUGUAUGCGUCUGGUAAAGGUUGCCUUCAAAUUUCUAGUUGUUCAUUAUGGCUUUUUAAACCUUUGUUUGGGUAAAGUAAUUUUACAGUAUAAUGACAGGCUCAGCAGUUCCCAGGCUGCUCUCCGCACCUGCCACCCCAGAUUGGUUAUGGAUCACUAGCCACUCCCUCCAUCUUGUAAAAACUGCCUUGCAUAAACAUUAUCAAACUGAACUUUGAUCAUAAGUUUGAACGAGUUGCAAAAGAAAAAUUCAGUCACAGAUAAAAAUGCAAAAAAACAGCCGGAACAUAAGAUCCAAGAAGAGAAAACAGGUGGGAAAUACAUGCUUUCUGCUUAUCAACUGUCUCAAGCACAGAGUAAUACACAUCUCAAAGAUUUACUAAUCAUACCGGCUUCGAACCCUGGUCAUUAUUUACUCUGUAGGAGUAGCACAGCAGUUUAUACCUAGACACUGGAUUGAGAAAACUAGAUAUUUCAGUACUAAAAGGGGAUGUGGUGCCAGUGUAAUGUCAAAAGAAGAAAAUCUGUUAUUCCACAGGGGAUGCACAAACCAGUGUUUUUCUUCGUGCCU
Long non-coding RNA from Polypterus senegalus (gray bichir), 804 nucleotides. RefSeq lists it as uncharacterized. Lineage: Eukaryota; Metazoa; Chordata; Cladistia; Polypteriformes; Polypteridae. The transcript has 5 exons. The record is from RefSeq and is a predicted model, not a curated record.